GAGAGUUAUUUCAUACGUGGC
This 21-nucleotide non-coding RNA is filed under the name Arabidopsis thaliana (thale cress). The record is from RNAcentral. Lineage: Eukaryota; Viridiplantae; Streptophyta; Magnoliopsida; Brassicales; Brassicaceae.